AUGCCUGUUUCCUCUGAUUCAGACAGGACGGUGGUUCCCCACACCUCUUCUGCUGUCUCCUCUGAUUCAGACAGGCCGGUGCUCCCCCACACCUCUUCUGCUGCUGUCUCCUCUGAUUCAGACUGGCCGGUGGUCCCCCACACCUCUUCUGCUGUCUCCUCUGAUUCAGACUGGCCGUUGGUCCCCCACACCUCCUCUGCUGUCUCCUCUGAUUCAGACUGGUCGGUGGUCCCCCACACCUCCUCUGCUGUCUCCUCUGAUUCAGACUGGCCGGUGGUCCCUCAGACCUCCUCUGCUGUCUCCUCUGAUUCAGACUGGUCGGUGGUUCCCCACACCUCCUCUGCUGUCUCCUCUGAUUCAGACAGGCCGGUGCUCCCCCACACCUCUUCUGCUGCUGUCUCCUCUGAUUCAGACUGGCCGGUGGUCCCCCACACCUCUUCUGCUGUCUCCUCUGAUUCAGACUGGCUGUUGGUCCCCCACACCUCCUCUGCUGUCUCCUCUGAUUCAGACUGGCCGGUGGUCCCUCAGACCUCCUCUGCUGUCUCCUCUGAUUCAGACUGGUCGGUGGUCCCCCACACCUCCUCUGCUGUCUCCUCUGAUUCAGACAGGACGGUGGUUCCCCACACCUCCUCUGCUGUCUCCUCUGAUUCAGACAGGCCGGUGCUCCCCCACACCUCUUCUGCUGCUGUCUCCUCUGAUUCAGACUGCCCGGUGGUCCCCCACACUUCUUCUGCUGUCUCCUCUGAUUCAGACUGGCCGGUGGUCCCUCAGACCUCCUCUGCUGUCUCCUCUGAUUCAGACUGGCCGUUGGUCCCCCACACCUCCUCUGCUGUCUCCUCUGAUUCAGACUGGUCGGUGGUCCCCCACACCUCCUCUGCUGUCUCCUCUGAUUCAGACUGGCCGGUGGUCCCUCAGACCUCCUCUGCUGUCUCCUCUGAUUCAGACUGGUCGGUGGUUCCCCACACCUCCUCUGCUGUCUCCUCUGAUUCAGACAGGCCGGUGCUCCCCCACACCUCUUCUGCUGCUGUCUCCUCUGAUUCAGACUGGCCGGUGGUCCCCCACACCUCUUCUGCUGUCUCCUCUGAUUCAGACUGGCCGUUGGUCCCCCACACCUCCUCUGCUGUCUCCUCUGAUUCAGACUGGUCGGUGGUCCCCCACACCUCCUCUGCUGUCUCCUCUGAUUCAGACUGGCCGGUGGUCCCUCAGACCUCCUCUGCUGUCUCCUCUGAUUCAGACUGGUCGGUGGUCCCCCACACCUCCUCUGCUGUCUCCUCUGAUUCAGACUGGCCGGUGGUCCCUCAGACCUCCUCUGCUGUCUCCUCUGAUUCAGACUGGUCGGUGGUCCCCCACACCUCCUCUGCUGUCUCCUCUGAUUCAGACAGGACGGUGGUUCCCCACACCUCCUCUGCUGUCUCCUCUGAUUCAGACUGGUCGGUGGUCCCCCACACCUCCUCUGCUGUCUCCUCUGUUUCAGACAGGACGGUGGUUCCCCACACCUCCUCUGCUGUCUCCUCUGUUUCAGACAGGCCGGUGCUCCCCCAAAUCAAAUCAAAUCAAAUCAAAUUUAUUUAUAUAGCCCUUCGUACAUCAGCUGAUAUCUCAAAGUGCUGUACAGAAACCCAGCCUAAAACCCCAAACAGCAAGCAAUGCAGGUGUAGAAGCACGGUGGCUAGGAAAAACUCCCUAGAAAGGCCAAUACCUAGGAAGAAACCUAGAGAGGAACCAGGCUAUGUGGGGUGGCCAGUCCUCUUCUGGCUGUGCCGGGUGGAGAUUAUAACAGAACAUGGCCAAGAUGUUCAAUGUUCAUAA
Long non-coding RNA from Oncorhynchus kisutch (coho salmon), 1809 nucleotides. The record is from Ensembl. NCBI's taxonomy places the organism in Eukaryota, Metazoa, Chordata, Actinopteri, Salmoniformes, Salmonidae.